RNAcentral lists this ribosomal RNA (497 nucleotides) under uncultured bacterium. Its description in RNAcentral is "partial 16S ribosomal RNA". It matches the Rfam family "Bacterial small subunit ribosomal RNA", at positions 28 to 507 of the family's 1533-position model. The record is from RNAcentral.
GAUGAACGCUGGCGGCGUGCCUAAUACAUGCAAGUCGAGCGAACAGAUGAGGAGCUUGCUCCUCUGACGUUAGCGGCGGACGGGUGAGUAACACGUGGAUAACCUACCUAUAAGACUGGGAUAACUUCGGGAAACCGGAUCUAAUACCGGAUAAUAUAUUGAACCGCAUGGUUCAAUAGUGAAAGACGGUUUUGCUGUCACUUAUAGAUGGAUCCGCGCCGCAUUAUCUAGUUGGUAAGGUAACGGCUUACCAAGGCGACGAUGCGUAGCCGACCUGAGAGGGUGAUCGGCCACACUGGAACUGAGACACGGUCCAGACUCCUACGGGAGGCAGCAGUAGGGAAUCUUCCGCAAUGGGCGAAAGCCUGACGGAGCAACGCCGCGUGAGUGAUGAAGGUCUUCGGAUCGUAAAACUCUGUUAUUAGGGAAGAACAAAUGUGUAAGUAACUAUGCACGUCUUGACGGUACCUAAUCAGAAAGCCACGGCUAACUACGUG